UAGGGAAUAUUGGACAAUGGGCGCAAGCCUGAUCCAGCCAUGCCGCGUGAGUGAAGAAGGCCCUCGGGUUGUAAAGCUCUUUUGUCCGGAAAGAAAAGCUUUGGGUUAAUACCCCGAAGUCCUGACGGUACCGGAAGAAUAAGCACCGGCUAACUUCGUGCCAGCAGCCGCGGUAAUACGAAGGGUGCAAGCGUUACUCGGAAUUACUGGGCGUAAAGCGUGCGUAGGUGGUUCGUUAAGUCUGAUGUGAAAGCCCUGGGCUCAACCUGGGAAUGGCAUUGGAUAGUGGCGGGCUAGAGUGCGGUAGAGGGCAGUGGAAGUCCCGGUGUAGCAGUGAAAUGCGUAGAGAUCGGGAGGAACAUCUGUGGCGAAGGAGACUGCCUGGACCAGCACUGACACUGAGGCACGAAAGCGUGGGGAGCAAACAGG
Molecule: ribosomal RNA, 429 nt
Filed under: bacterium
Lineage: Bacteria
Description: partial 16S ribosomal RNA
Rfam family: Bacterial small subunit ribosomal RNA
Source: RNAcentral